UCUCCGUUGGUGAACCAGCGGAGGGAUCAUUACAGGAUCGAAAGACUCCUAUAACCCCUGUGAACUUACUACAAAUACGUUGCUUCGGCGGGUGCCCCGGGUCUCCCGGGGCGUUCAGCCCGCCGGCAGCCUUCAAAUUCUGUUUCUUUGCGUUGGCAUCUCGAGUAUACAAAAAUAAGUUAAAACUUUCAACAAUGGAUCUCUUGGUUCUG
This 212-nucleotide unclassified non-coding RNA is filed under the name plant metagenome. Its description in RNAcentral is "partial contains small subunit ribosomal RNA, internal transcribed spacer 1, and 5.8S ribosomal RNA". The record is from RNAcentral.